GAUGAACGCUGGCGGCGUGCCUAAUACAUGCAAGUCGAGCGAACAGACGAGGCGCUUGCUCCUCUGACGUUAGCGGCGGACGUGUGAGUAACACGUGGAUCACCUACCUAUAAGACUGGGAUAACUUCGGGAAACCGGAGCUAAUACCGGAUAAUAUAUUGAACCGCAUGGUUCAAUAGUGAAAGACGGUUUUGCUGUCACUUAUAGAUGGAUCCGCGCGGCUUUAGCUAGUUGGUAAGUUAACGGCUUACCAAGGCAACGAUGCGUAGCCGACCUGAGAGGGUGAUCGGCCACACUGGAACGUGGACACGGUCCAUACUCCUACGGGAGGCAGCAGUAGGGAAUCGUCCGCAAUAGGCGAAAGCCUGACGGAGCAACGCCACGUGAGUGAUGAAGGUCUUCGGAUCGUAAAACUCUGUUAUUAGGUAAGAACAAAUGUGUAAGUAACUAUACACGUCUUGACGGUACCGAAUCAGAAAGCCACGGCUAACUACGUG
This 497-nucleotide ribosomal RNA is filed under the name uncultured bacterium. Its description in RNAcentral is "partial 16S ribosomal RNA". It matches the Rfam family "Bacterial small subunit ribosomal RNA", at positions 28 to 507 of the family's 1533-position model. The record is from RNAcentral.